AGGAUGAACGCUGGCGGCGUGCCUAACACAUGCAAGUCGAACGUCCUGUCUCGCAAGAGGCAGGGAGUGGCGGACGGGUGAGUACCACGUGGGUUAUCUACCGUGAGGUGAGGAAUACCGGCGAGAAAUCGCCGACAAGACCGCAUAGCCUCGGUGCAAGCCGAGGAAAGCUCUCUCGAGAGAGGGAGCGCCACACGAGGAGCCUGCGCCCGAUUAGCUAGCUGGUGGAGUAACGGUUCACCAGGGCGACGAUCGGUAGCUGGUCUGAGAGGACGAUCAGCCACACUGGGAUUGAGAACGGCCCAGACUCCUACGGGGGGCAGCAGUGAGGAAUUUUCGUCAAUGGGGGCAACCCUGAACGAGCAACGCCGCGUGCAGGAAGAAGGUUUUCGGAUCGUAAACUGCUUUUUCUCGGGGAAGAGAACGGACGGUACCCGAGGAAUCAGCCCCGGCUAACUACGCGCCAGCAGCCGCGGUAA
RNAcentral lists this ribosomal RNA (479 nucleotides) under uncultured bacterium. Its description in RNAcentral is "SSU rRNA". It matches the Rfam family "Bacterial small subunit ribosomal RNA", at positions 26 to 523 of the family's 1533-position model. The record is from RNAcentral.